Molecule: ribosomal RNA, 499 nt
Filed under: uncultured bacterium
Lineage: Bacteria
Description: bacterial SSU rRNA
Rfam family: Bacterial small subunit ribosomal RNA
Source: RNAcentral
GGCUAACGCUGGCGGCGUGUCUUAGCCAUGCAAGUCGAGCGGACUUAUGGGGUAACUUAUAAGUCAGCGGCGGACGGCGGAGUAACACGUAGCUAACCUACCCUCUGGACGGGGAUAACCUACCGAAAGGUGGGCUAAUACCCGAUGUAGUCAUCCUGUAUAGGGGUGAUGAAAGGUGGGCUUCUGUUUACAAGCUCAUGCUGGAGGAGGGGGCUGCGGCCUAUCAGGUAGUUGGUAGGGUAAUAGCCUACCAAGCCGAUGACGGGUAGCCGGCCUGAGAGGGUGACCGGCCCGAGGGGCACUGAGAUACGGGUCCCACUCCUACGGGAGGCAGCAGGCUAGAAAUUUGGGCAAUGGGGGAAACCCUGACCCAGUGACGCCGCGUGCAGGAAGGAGCCCUUCGGGGUGUAAACUGCUGUCGUGUAGGGAGAAGGGUACUAAGGUGAACAAUCUUAGUACUUGACGGUACUACAGGAGGAAGCCCAGGCUAACCUCGUGC